Schizosaccharomyces pombe (fission yeast) is the source of this 1028-nucleotide non-coding RNA. NCBI's taxonomy places the organism in Eukaryota, Fungi, Ascomycota, Schizosaccharomycetes, Schizosaccharomycetales, Schizosaccharomycetaceae. The record is from the annotation of a GenBank genome assembly.
AAUGAUUCCCAGACUUCUUCUUCCUUAGUAACCAAGAAUCCUUCUUCAUCUUUCGUUGUCGCGUACUUUUUAACUUUUCUUUUCCCACGUCUCUUUCCACCGGAUACGGAUUUGAUAAUUUCCUGAGGUUCGUCAGGUGCAGCAGAUUUUGCUUCGGUACCAAUUUCCAAUUGGAAAUUAUUAGAAUCUAAAUUAUCAUCUUCAGAAUCGUGAACGCUAGUGGUAGAUACUGAUUCAUCUUCUAGCUGCAUAAUAUUUUUCAGAUCAUCGCGCUCUCUCUUUGCUUGCUCAGACAACUUCUCCUCCUUUGGCAAGAGAGGCUCCUUUUCUUUAUGAUUUUCAAGAGGAGCUUUUUUAUUUUUACGAGAUGAGUUUCCCUUUUGGUUCCUUGCAUUACUGAAAAUAUCUUUCCCUUUAGUCUUUUCUGUACUACGUGUGUCAGUCUUAUCGAUUGUCGAUGUCUUUGAGGGAACAGAUAAUUGGGGGGAAUGAGUUGAAGGUGCCUUUUUCAAAACACGAGGCUACAAUAAGUUAGUCUUCCGAAGACGGAAGGAUCGAAUGUCAAACAACGAUUGUUGUGAUAUAAAUUACUUACCACGGAAUUUUCAUUGAAAAUAAAUCCAUACUUAUCAGCAUCUUCUUUUUUGUAUAAAACAUCUUUCUCUCUUAUUUCAUAUACUGCAGGUAAUAAUUCGUCAAAAUCCUUAAUUAAAUCAAUUAGUUUGUAACAAUAUAAAAUACAGCUUAUCGAAUACUUACACUUAAUGGAGCAGAUGAAAGAGCAAAUAUAACAGUUUUAUACCCACUUUUCAAUCUACUUUGUUUCUCUACAAAUAGUUAGCGAAUCUGCUAUCGAAUGAUCGGAAUUGACAAUAACAAACCUUGUAGAGAAGACUUAUCACACAAAAUGUAUUGCAAAACAGGAAAAUUAGAUAUAGGUUGAGAUUCCUCGUCAAUUUCCAAAUUAAUUUCAUCAUCUAUAGGUUGUCCAUGAAUAAGGUAUAUAGGAUACAAAAAAUCGUUGCCUU